RNAcentral lists this long non-coding RNA (568 nucleotides) under Musa acuminata (dwarf banana). RNAcentral's name for it is "long non-coding RNA (MACU_LNC004427)". The record is from RNAcentral. Lineage: Eukaryota; Viridiplantae; Streptophyta; Magnoliopsida; Zingiberales; Musaceae.
CUCUUCUAGUCCCCGACUUAAUGCAAGUCUUGGGUUUUUGUUCUCCUGGAAAAGGUGUUGAUUAGGCAAGAACUUGUCUAAUUUGUAUUGCUUGACUCUUGAUUCCGUUUGUUUGAGUUAUUUCCUGGGGAUGUUGUAAGUUAUUGUGCUCUACAUCUGUCUGAUGAAAGGACUGAGAGAGAAACCUGCAUUGCUUGGUAUAGUGUCAACAGUUUUGGUUAACAUAUGGAGCCUUUUCUUGUUGCGCAUUUGUUGAAGCUUUUUCAAGCUUGUAAGUGGGCUAUUAUUGUGCAGCAGAAUCAAGUUCAUUAUUUUGGAUUUUUUAUUUCGAAGUUGAACAGUGUCUCCGGCCUGAGUUCCUGGACGAUUUUCUGAUUUUCAGAAAGAUGCAGGCUUUAGGUUAGCUUCUGAAUGUUCUGAAAUUCAUGCUUGCUAUUUGGCUUCAUGUUGCAGUUUAAUUUGUUUGUCCUUGUGGCAGUUUUUGAAGCUGAUUAACUAGAAGGGAAAGGUUAAAAAGGAAGAAGAUAACUUUGGUUUCUAUCUGACACUAGCGAUUCUAUGAUCGGUC